CCUACGGGAAGCAGCAGUGAGGAAUAUUGGUCAAUGGACGAGAGUCUGAACCAGCCAAGUAGCGUGAAGGAUGACUGCCCUAUGGGUUGUAAACUUCUUUUAUAUGGGAAUAAAACGUUCCACGUGUGGGAUUUUGUAUGUACCAUAUGAAUAAGGAUCGGCUAACUCCGUGCCAGCAGCCGCGGUAAUACGGAGGAUCCGAGCGUUAUCCGGAUUUAUUGGGUUUAAAGGGAGCGUAGGUGGAUUGUUAAGUCAGUUGUGAAAGUUUGCGGCUCAACCGUAAAAUUGCAGUUGAAACUGGCAGUCUUGAGUACAGUAGAGGUGGGCGGAAUUCGUGGUGUAGCGGUGAAAUGCUUAGAUAUCACGAAGAACUCCGAUUGCGAAGGCAGUUCACUGGACUGCAACUGACACUGAGGCUCGAAAGUGUGGGUAUCAAACAGGAUUAGAUACCCCUGUAGUC
Molecule: ribosomal RNA, 460 nt
Filed under: uncultured bacterium
Lineage: Bacteria
Description: partial 16S ribosomal RNA
Rfam family: Bacterial small subunit ribosomal RNA
Source: RNAcentral